This 253-nucleotide ribosomal RNA is filed under the name uncultured bacterium. RNAcentral describes it as "partial 16S ribosomal RNA". It matches the Rfam family "Bacterial small subunit ribosomal RNA", at positions 524 to 776 of the family's 1533-position model. The record is from RNAcentral.
UACGUAGGGUGCAAGCGUUGUCCGGAAUUAUUGGGCGUAAAGCGCGUGUAGGCGGCUCGGUAAGUCUGCUGUGAAAGUCCAAGGCUCAACCUUGGAAAGCCGGUGGAUACUGUCGAGCUCGAGUCCGGAAGAGGCGAGUGGAAUUCCUGGUGUAGCGGUGAAAUGCGCAGAUAUCAGGAGGAACACCAAUGGCGAAGGCAGCUCGCUGGGACGGUACUGACGCUGAGACGCGAAAGCGUGGGGAGCAAACAGG